UAGGGAAUCUUCGGCAAUGGACGAAAGUCUGACCGAGCAACGCCGCGCGAGUGAAGAAGGUUUUCGGAUCGUAAAACUCUGUUGUUAGAGAAGAACAAGGACGUUAGUAACUGAACGUCCCCUGACGGUAUCUAACCAGAAAGCCACGGCUAACUACGUGCCAGCAGCCGCGGUAAUACGUAGGUGGCAAGCGUUGUCCGGAUUUAUUGGGCGUAAAGCGAGCGCAGGCGGUUACUUAAGUCUGAUGUGAAAGCCCCCGGCUCAACCGGGGAGGGUCAUUGGGAACAGGGAGACUUGAGUGCAGAAGGGGAGAGUGGAAUUCCAUGUGUAGCGGUGAAAUGCGUAGAUAUAUGGAGGAACACCAGUGGCGAAGGCGGCUCUCUGGUCUGUAACUGACGCUGAGGCUCGAAAGCGUGGGGAGCAAACAGG
Molecule: ribosomal RNA, 429 nt
Filed under: Gemmatimonadota bacterium
Lineage: Bacteria; Pseudomonadati; Gemmatimonadota
Description: Gemmatimonadetes bacterium partial 16S ribosomal RNA
Rfam family: Bacterial small subunit ribosomal RNA
Source: RNAcentral